GAGGAAUAUUGGUCAAUGGGCGCGAGCCUGAACCAGCCAAGUAGCGUGAAGGAUGAAGGUCCUAUGGAUUGUAAACUUCUUUUAUAGCAGAAUAAAGUGACCCACGUGUGGGUUUUUGUAUGUAUGCUAUGAAUAAGGAUCGGCUAACUCCGUGCCAGCAGCCGCGGUAAUACGGAGGAUCCGAGCGUUAUCCGGAUUUAUUGGGUUUAAAGGGUGCGUAGGCGGAAAGAUAAGUCAGCCUGUGAAAGUUUGUGGCUCAACCGUAAAAUUGCAGUUGAUACUGUUUUUCUUGAGUGUACGUAAGGUAGGCGGAAUUCGUGGUGUAGCGGUGAAAUGCUUAGAUAUCACGAAGAACUCCGAUUGCGAAGGCAGCUUACCGGGGUACAACUGACGCUGAUGCACGAAAGUGUGGGUAUCAAACA
RNAcentral lists this ribosomal RNA (422 nucleotides) under uncultured bacterium. RNAcentral's name for it is "bacterial SSU rRNA". It matches the Rfam family "Bacterial small subunit ribosomal RNA", at positions 356 to 774 of the family's 1533-position model. The record is from RNAcentral.